Molecule: ribosomal RNA, 2903 nt
Filed under: Escherichia coli
Lineage: Bacteria; Pseudomonadati; Pseudomonadota; Gammaproteobacteria; Enterobacterales; Enterobacteriaceae
Description: bacterial LSU rRNA
Rfam family: Bacterial large subunit ribosomal RNA
Source: RNAcentral
UUAAGCGACUAAGCGUACACGGUGGAUGCCCUGGCAGUCAGAGGCGAUGAAGGACGUGCUAAUCUGCGAUAAGCGUCGGUAAGGUGAUAUGAACCGUUAUAACCGGCGAUUUCCGAAUGGGGAAACCCAGUGUGAUUCGUCACACUAUCAUUAACUGAAUCCAUAGGUUAAUGAGGCGAACCGGGGGAACUGAAACAUCUAAGUACCCCGAGGAAAAGAAAUCAACCGAGAUUCCCCCAGUAGCGGCGAGCGAACGGGGAGGAGCCCAGAGCCUGAAUCAGUGUGUGUGUUAGUGGAAGCGUCUGGAAAGGCGCGCGAUACAGGGUGACAGCCCCGUACACAAAAAUGCACAUGCUGUGAGCUCGAUGAGUAGGGCGGGACACGUGGUAUCCUGUCUGAAUAUGGGGGGACCAUCCUCCAAGGCUAAAUACUCCUGACUGACCGAUAGUGAACCAGUACCGUGAGGGAAAGGCGAAAAGAACCCCGGCGAGGGGAGUGAAAAAGAACCUGAAACCGUGUACGUACAAGCAGUGGGAGCCUCUUUAUGGGGUGACUGCGUACCUUUUGUAUAAUGGGUCAGCGACUUAUAUUCUGUAGCAAGGUUAACCGAAUAGGGGAGCCGAAGGGAAACCGAGUCUUAACUGGGCGUUAAGUUGCAGGGUAUAGACCCGAAACCCGGUGAUCUAGCCAUGGGCAGGUUGAAGGUUGGGUAACACUAACUGGAGGACCGAACCGACUAAUGUUGAAAAAUUAGCGGAUGACUUGUGGCUGGGGGUGAAAGGCCAAUCAAACCGGGAGAUAGCUGGUUCUCCCCGAAAGCUAUUUAGGUAGCGCCUCGUGAACUCAUCUCCGGGGGUAGAGCACUGUUUCGGCAAGGGGGUCAUCCCGACUUACCAACCCGAUGCAAACUGCGAAUACCGGAGAAUGUUAUCACGGGAGACACACGGCGGGUGCUAACGUCCGUCGUGAAGAGGGAAACAACCCAGACCGCCAGCUAAGGUCCCAAAGUCAUGGUUAAGUGGGAAACGAUGUGGGAAGGCCCAGACAGCCAGGAUGUUGGCUUAGAAGCAGCCAUCAUUUAAAGAAAGCGUAAUAGCUCACUGGUCGAGUCGGCCUGCGCGGAAGAUGUAACGGGGCUAAACCAUGCACCGAAGCUGCGGCAGCGACGCUUAUGCGUUGUUGGGUAGGGGAGCGUUCUGUAAGCCUGCGAAGGUGUGCUGUGAGGCAUGCUGGAGGUAUCAGAAGUGCGAAUGCUGACAUAAGUAACGAUAAAGCGGGUGAAAAGCCCGCUCGCCGGAAGACCAAGGGUUCCUGUCCAACGUUAAUCGGGGCAGGGUGAGUCGACCCCUAAGGCGAGGCCGAAAGGCGUAGUCGAUGGGAAACAGGUUAAUAUUCCUGUACUUGGUGUUACUGCGAAGGGGGGACGGAGAAGGCUAUGUUGGCCGGGCGACGGUUGUCCCGGUUUAAGCGUGUAGGCUGGUUUUCCAGGCAAAUCCGGAAAAUCAAGGCUGAGGCGUGAUGACGAGGCACUACGGUGCUGAAGCAACAAAUGCCCUGCUUCCAGGAAAAGCCUCUAAGCAUCAGGUAACAUCAAAUCGUACCCCAAACCGACACAGGUGGUCAGGUAGAGAAUACCAAGGCGCUUGAGAGAACUCGGGUGAAGGAACUAGGCAAAAUGGUGCCGUAACUUCGGGAGAAGGCACGCUGAUACGUAGGUGAAGUCCCUUGCGGAUGGAGCUGAAAUCAGUCGAAGAUACCAGCUGGCUGCAACUGUUUAUUAAAAACACAGCACUGUGCAAACACGAAAGUGGACGUAUACGGUGUGACGCCUGCCCGGUGCCGGAAGGUUAAUUGAUGGGGUUAGCGGUAACGCGAAGCUCUUGAUCGAAGCCCCGGUAAACGGCGGCCGUAACUAUAACGGUCCUAAGGUAGCGAAAUUCCUUGUCGGGUAAGUUCCGACCUGCACGAAUGGCGUAAUGAUGGCCAGGCUGUCUCCACCCGAGACUCAGUGAAAUUGAACUCGCUGUGAAGAUGCAGUGUACCCGCGGCAAGACGGAAAGACCCCGUGAACCUUUACUAUAGCUUGACACUGAACAUUGAGCCUUGAUGUGUAGGAUAGGUGGGAGGCUUUGAAGUGUGGACGCCAGUCUGCAUGGAGCCGACCUUGAAAUACCACCCUUUAAUGUUUGAUGUUCUAACGUUGGCCCCUGAUCGGGGUUGCGGACAGUGUCUGGUGGGUAGUUUGACUGGGGCGGUCUCCUCCUAAAGAGUAACGGAGGAGCACGAAGGUUGGCUAAUCCUGGUCGGACAUCAGGAGGUUAGUGCAAUGGCAUAAGCCAGCUUGACUGCGAGCGUGACGGCGCGAGCAGGUGCGAAAGCAGGUCAUAGUGAUCCGGUGGUUCUGAAUGGAAGGGCCAUCGCUCAACGGAUAAAAGGUACUCCGGGGAUAACAGGCUGAUACCGCCCAAGAGUUCAUAUCGACGGCGGUGUUUGGCACCUCGAUGUCGGCUCAUCACAUCCUGGGGCUGAAGUAGGUCCCAAGGGUAUGGCUGUUCGCCAUUUAAAGUGGUACGCGAGCUGGGUUUAGAACGUCGUGAGACAGUUCGGUCCCUAUCUGCCGUGGGCGCUGGAGAACUGAGGGGGGCUGCUCCUAGUACGAGAGGACCGGAGUGGACGCAUCACUGGUGUUCGGGUUGUCAUGCCAAUGGCACUGCCCGGUAGCUAAAUGCGGAAGAGAUAAGUGCUGAAAGCAUCUAAGCACGAAACUUGCCCCGAGAUGAGUUCUCCCUGACUCCUUGAGAGUCCUGAAGGAACGUUGAAGACGACGACGUUGAUAGGCCGGGUGUGUAAGCGCAGCGAUGCGUUGAGCUAACCGGUACUAAUGAACCGUGAGGCUUAACCUU